GGGGAAUAUUGGACAAUGGGCGAAAGCCUGAUCCAGCCAUGCCGCGUGUGUGAAGAAGGUCUUCGGAUUGUAAAGCACUUUAAGUUGGGAGGAAGGGCAGUAAGUUAAUACCUUGCUGUUUUGACGUUACCAACAGAAUAAGCACCGGCUAACUUCGUG
This 159-nucleotide ribosomal RNA is filed under the name uncultured Pseudomonas sp. RNAcentral's name for it is "partial 16S ribosomal RNA". It matches the Rfam family "Bacterial small subunit ribosomal RNA", at positions 356 to 507 of the family's 1533-position model. The record is from RNAcentral. Lineage: Bacteria; Pseudomonadati; Pseudomonadota; Gammaproteobacteria; Pseudomonadales; Pseudomonadaceae.